Molecule: non-coding RNA, 30 nt
Filed under: Rattus norvegicus (Norway rat)
Lineage: Eukaryota; Metazoa; Chordata; Mammalia; Rodentia; Muridae
Source: RNAcentral
UACAAUGCAGCCUGCAUGACACCCCUUAGU